UACGUAGGGGGCGAGCGUUGUCCGGAGUUACUGGGCGUAAAGCGCACGCAGGCGGUCUGCUAAGUUUGGAGUGACAGUUGGUGGCUUAACUGCCAAAGUGCUUCGAAAACUGACAGACUUGAGGGCUUCAGAGGGACACGGAAUUCCGGGUGGAGUGGUGAAAUGCGUAGAGAUCCGGAGGAACACCAAAGGCGAAGGCAGUGUCCUGGGGAGUACCUGACGCUGAGGCGCGAAAGCUAGGGGAGCAAACGGG
This 253-nucleotide ribosomal RNA is filed under the name uncultured bacterium. RNAcentral's name for it is "partial 16S ribosomal RNA". It matches the Rfam family "Bacterial small subunit ribosomal RNA", at positions 524 to 776 of the family's 1533-position model. The record is from RNAcentral.